GUUCAGAUUGAGUUUUUCAUUACUCCCUGUCUAAAUUUAAGUAGUUAUAGAAGUAAAAUUGAAUAUAUUUCCAGUGUUUUUGUUCACAAAAUUGAAAAAGGUUCCAAUAUUUGGAGAAUGAUUUUUUUAUAUCAUAAAAUCAGAAGAGUAGGGACUCAUUAACGAAUGCAUUUCUCAAAAAAUCACAAACCACUUUUCUCUAGAAAAAAAUAAUCUGAUCUACGACGUCGUGUACCGUCCUAAGAACCUCAAAUCAAAAUUUCCCUUUCGAACUGCACAAAGCAUUAUGCCAUCCUGAGGUAACUGAAAAGUUCCAGUAGACGAGAUGUACUGUUGAAGAAGUGGAUGUAAAUAGUUAAUAUGACCUUAUUCGUAGUUAAUAUGAGCGGCGCCCAAAAUACCUCUCGUGGAAAUCAAUCGAUUUUUAGUCAUCAUUGACCAGAGUCGGCGAAUGUCGUGGCCUAUAAUUCAAACCACAAGAACGGAUACCGAAGCGAAGACCUAUCAGAGAUCAAAAAUAAACUGCGAUGUCAACGUUCUUCUACGCCUGAAGAAGCAGUUGACGCUGUUUGCUGGUCCUCUAUCGGAAUUAGAAAAUUGCUUCGACGAUUUGUUCAAACACAUGCAAAAGAGAAUUUAUCUUAAUGGAGAAUAUUUUUAAAAACA
Long non-coding RNA from Diorhabda carinulata, 666 nucleotides. RefSeq lists it as uncharacterized. The transcript has 3 exons. NCBI's taxonomy places the organism in Eukaryota, Metazoa, Arthropoda, Insecta, Coleoptera, Chrysomelidae. The record is from RefSeq and is a predicted model, not a curated record.